AGAGCACUCCCUACGGGAGGCAGCAGUGGGGAAUAUUGCACAAUGGGCGCAAGCCUGAUGCAGCCAUGCCGCGUGUAUGAAGAAGGCCUUCGGGUUGUAAAGUACUUUCAGCAGUGAGGAAGGUGGAUAUGUUAAUAGCAUAUUCAUUUGACCGUUAGCUGCAGAAGAAGCACCGGCUAACUCCGUGCCAGCAGCCGCGGUAAUACGGAGGGUGCGAGCGUUAAUCGGAAUUACUGGGCGUAAAGCGCAUGCAGGUGGUUUGUUAAGUCAGAUGUGAAAGCCCGGGGCUCAACCUCGGAAUUGCAUUUGAAACUGGCAAACUAGAGUACUGUAGAGGGGGUAGAAUUUCAGGUGUAGCGGUGAAAUGCGUAGAGAUCUGAAGGAAUACCGGUGGCGAAGGCGGCCCCCUGGACAGAUACUGACACUCAGAUGCGAAAGCGUGGGGAGCAAACAGGAUUAGAUACCCUGGUAG
RNAcentral lists this ribosomal RNA (472 nucleotides) under uncultured bacterium. Its description in RNAcentral is "bacterial SSU rRNA". It matches the Rfam family "Bacterial small subunit ribosomal RNA", at positions 330 to 793 of the family's 1533-position model. The record is from RNAcentral.